This 72-nucleotide transfer RNA is filed under the name Polyangiaceae bacterium. RNAcentral's name for it is "tRNA-Lys". It matches the Rfam family "tRNA". From Rfam's summary of the family: Transfer RNA (tRNA) molecules are approximately 80 nucleotides in length. Their secondary structure includes four short double-helical elements and three loops (D, anti-codon, and T loops). The record is from RNAcentral. Lineage: Bacteria; Pseudomonadati; Myxococcota; Polyangiales; Polyangiaceae.
GGGAGGUUGGCGUCAAGGCGACGCAGCGGAUUCUUAAUCCGAUAGAGGUGGGUUCAAUUCCCAUGCCUCCCA